UACGUAGGUGGCGAGCGUUAUCCGGAAUGAUUGGGCGUAAAGGGUGCGCAGGCGGUCCUGCAAGUCUGGAGUGAAACGUAUGAGCUCAACUCAUGCAUGGCUCUGGAAACUGCGGGGCUGGAGUGCAGGAGGGGUAAGCGGAAUUCCUGGUGUAGCGGUGAAAUGCGUAGAUAUCAGGAGGAACACCAGUGGCGAAGGCGGCUUACUGGACGAUGACUGACGCUGAGGCUCGAAAGCGUGGGGAGCAAACAGG
This 253-nucleotide ribosomal RNA is filed under the name uncultured Eubacteriales bacterium. RNAcentral's name for it is "uncultured Clostridiales bacterium partial 16S ribosomal RNA". It matches the Rfam family "Bacterial small subunit ribosomal RNA", at positions 524 to 776 of the family's 1533-position model. The record is from RNAcentral. Lineage: Bacteria; Bacillati; Bacillota; Clostridia; Eubacteriales.